GCCUCGUAGCGGCGAGUGAGCGGCAGAGCUCAGAUUUGAAAUCGUGCUUUGCGCGCACGAGUUGUAGAUUGCAGGUUGGAGUCUGUGUGGAAGGCGGUGUCCAAGUCCCUUGGAACAGGGCGCCCAGGAGGGUGAGAGCCCCGUGGGAUGCCGGCGGAAGCAGUGAGGCCCUUCUGACGAGUCGAGUUGUUUGGGAAUGCAGCUCCAAGCGGGUGGUAAAUUCCAUCUAAGGCUAAAUACUGGCGAGAGACCGAUAGCGAACAAGUACUGUGAAGGAAAGAUGAAAAGCACUUUGAAAAGAGAGUGAAACAGCACGUGAAAUUGUUGAAAGGGAAGGGUAUUGCGCCCGACAUGGGGAUUGCGCACCG
This 368-nucleotide ribosomal RNA is filed under the name Pichia kudriavzevii. RNAcentral describes it as "eukaryotic LSU rRNA". It matches the Rfam family "Eukaryotic large subunit ribosomal RNA", at positions 78 to 451 of the family's 3401-position model. The record is from RNAcentral. Lineage: Eukaryota; Fungi; Ascomycota; Pichiomycetes; Pichiales; Pichiaceae.